AUGGUGGAGGCGGGGCCUCGGUUGCCCUACUUCUGUGUGGGGAACCCCGGAUCUGGAGCGGCGGCUCCAUUGGCAAGGCACGGCCGGCUAGCAGCCAUGCGGGCGGUGGAUCUGGUGUCCCGGUCGCGUGGGCGGCGGGAUCCGGUGGUCGUUGGCGGUCGGCGGCGGCCGUUGCGCGCGAUCUGGCGCCUCCCCUCCUCCCCUGUUCGGCGUGCGUGCCAGCCUGGUCGGGCCGCGCUUCCUCUUGGUCGCCAGUUCUGUACAUGA
Molecule: ribosomal RNA, 267 nt
Filed under: Triticum aestivum (bread wheat)
Lineage: Eukaryota; Viridiplantae; Streptophyta; Magnoliopsida; Poales; Poaceae
Description: partial small subunit ribosomal RNA
Source: RNAcentral